This 24-nucleotide non-coding RNA is filed under the name Mus musculus (house mouse). The record is from RNAcentral. Lineage: Eukaryota; Metazoa; Chordata; Mammalia; Rodentia; Muridae.
UGGAAGAAAGGUCUAUUCCACUGC